UUUUUUUUUUUUUUUUUUCAUGAUGAAGUAGAAAGCGUCAUAAUGAGUUCUCUCAAGUCAUUUCCCAUCUAAAAGACUUCAAAUUCACACAGUUUUGGACAUCCUGAAAAACAAUGCAAGCUAGAAGGGCAAACAACUAAUUUGUAAAGGAAUGACGAGGCAAACCAAUUCUUAAUAACCAUAAUUACUUAUUAUUAAUGGCAUGCUUCGAGUUCAUCGGAAGCCAUUUUUCAGCGUAUACAUUAUACAAGUCUACUUAUGAUAGAAUACUUAUUAUUUAGUUGCUAUCUAAUUACUACAAGAAAUUCUUGAUUCAGGUAGGACACUUUGAGUAAUUACUAUUACUUAUGUGGGAGUUUUAAUCAUACAAAAUACAAGUGACAAAAAGUAAAUACUGGAGAUUGACAUCUUAUGCCUGAAGAAAUUACUUUCGGAUGGAAAAAUUUUAUCAUCUUUUUGGAUGAAAAUUAACUAUCAAUUUGACAGUUAGGGGCAGGAGCAAAGUGCAAAUAUAAUGGAUUCAUAGGGCAAAAUGCAACUUGCCCGUUAAUUACAAGGGUGUUUAGCAUAAUUGAGCCAUUCUUUCGUAGGUUGUAUUCAUAAUUUCAGCGCUCCCUCCUCCCUUACUGGUUGCUACAUUAACCACCUCAGACCCCAAAAAAAUAAAAAUAAAAAAAAUCGCAGUUGAUUUCUUCGCGGAAAUCAGUGAAAUGAACAGAGAAAUAGAAGAAAUCCAAGAAGAUUUAUUAGCAAAGGCAGCAAAAGCAGCUGAUGAGCUCUACAACAUUCGGGACACCUACUUUCCUGCGGACCCAAAUGACAAAAUAUCCAAAUUGCAAGCUGAAUCGGAUCUUGUCCUGCAAACCCUCAAUUCCAUUCCUCCAGGUAGAAACAUGUACUUGUGCAUUACAAAUUUAGCAAAUUAGUAAAAAAGUUUACAUUUUUGUUAAUGGGUUUAAGAGAUUUUCCUUUCUGGAUUGAUGUGCAGAAAACAGGAAAUUGCCAAUUCAACGUGCAAUGUACGAGUACUUGAAAGGGAAAGUAUUGGAUGUCUUCUCUGAUUAUAGGAAAGAUGCUGAGGAUCAUCUCUCAAAAGCAGUUAGUAUAAAACAAUUGAUUUGUAUCAAAAGGGUCUUUGUUUCUAUUUUGUCUAUUUUUAAUUGAGUUGUUUGAUUUUGCUGAAAUUUGACUGUUUCUGAAUAAUGGCUUUUUUUUUUAUUUUAACUAUUUUUGGUGCUAAAGGUUAAGUUGAAUCCAUCUCUUGGAGAUGCAUGGUUGAGCUUAGGCAACUGUAUUUGGAAGAAGGGAGAUUUAUCCGCGGCUAAGAAUUGUUUUAUGCUUGCUUUAAGCAAGGUCAUUUAUUUUAUUCUUUCGAAACUUUGUUCAUUUUAUUAGUAGUAUGUUAAGUCAUGCAGUGGUGUAAGUUAGCUAGUUGAUGAUACGAGACUGAUGUUGUUUCUGUUCAGGGCCCCAACAAAAGGAUACUCUGUCAAUUAUCUAUGCUCGAAAGGAAAAUGGCUCAAGGCAAGAAUUUUAUGGAUAUUGUUGUAGUUUUUUUCCAUGUAAUUUUGCUCAUUCUUUGACUGUCUUCCUUUGAGAGAUGGGGGAAUCCAUGACUGAAUGACUGAGUAUGGUGAAGCUGAAGGACGUGCCAAAUUGUAAAUGUGAAUUUAUAGCUGUUGAAAGUCAGAGAUCCUUACUUUAGAAUCUAGCGUAGUAAGAUUUUGAGUAUUACUUGAGGUAGGUCAUCAUGGUUUUUGAAAAUUUUGAGCUUAUUCAAGCGAUUAGGGAAAUGUGGCUAGCCGGAUAUCCUUAGUCAUGGAGCGUGACUCAUAUGUUGGUUCUGGCUUUGUUGCAAUGUGACCUCGAUGAAUAACUGUUCUCUUUGAGACUUUGACUGCUAAAUUUCCUAUAUCUUUUGUCACAAUAGAUACCUUUGCCCAGCUAAACGUAACACUGAUCAAAUCAUUUAUCACGUAUUGCCUUUUCGAUAUUGGGAAAGAGUAAAAAAAUAAGAGGGUUGAAACACCAUGGCAUGUUCAAGCUUCUUUGCUGCUUUGGUCCAGUACACAGCAGAAAAUAUUCUCUGGACCUCCUGCAGUGAUAUGAUCUUAGAUGGUUGAAGCUUCAACUUCCGCACUUCUCUGGUAGUUUAUUCUGAUUCUCUGUAAAUCCAUUGUGGCCUUUUCAUCGAGGAUUAUCAUGGAUAUGCUUUAACAACUUUAAUAUGAGGAGAUAAUUUUUAUCUAUACUGUUACACAGCUGUUACUCAUAGAAGAACUAGAUAUGUUAUGAUGCCUCUAUUCAAAUAGACUGAAAAAGAGUAACAACUUUAAAUAUCCUAAUGGCAGUUUCAACUCUGACAUCUCCAUGUCUUUAUCCAAAUUUCACCAUACAAGCCUUAUUGACAACACAACUCCACUUUUUCCUUAUACUCUUUGCUGCUCAUAUGUAUCCCUGCUUACAAUUCGUAAAAAUACCAGUGAUGAAUUUAGCUGAUGACUUCUUCUUCUAUUCUGCUCAUCAGAUUCAUUAUCCACUUUCCAGGUGCUGAAAAACAGGCAGAAAUUGUUGAAGAGAGCAUUAAACAUGCAAGGGAAGCUAUUGCUCUUGAUGUCAGGGAUGGAAAUUCCUGGUGUGAGUUUCUAUUAUAAGUCAAAUUCUUCUGUACUUCCUUUUCUAAUUUAUUAGUUAAAGAUCUGGUGUAGGGUAUUUGCAUUGCUUGGCAGAGCGUAUGCUUUAGUUUGAGCCUUUGUUUGUGAAACUGAAUGUUAGCUGUAAAACCUGCCUACUAACAACUAGAGUAGUCCUUGUCUUCUCACUUAACAUUCCAAAUCAACAUGCAUGCUUGUGUGGACUCUGGCAUCAGUGAAUGGUUAGGACUGAAAAGUGUUGAUUCAGCCUUCAUCUGAAGCAAAGAUCUGGAGACAUGGGAGAGUAUUACCAACUUCUAAUGCUGAGAUAAUGAUAACUUUAACCCUUCAAUUCCUGUCCAUCUAUCGUGUGUUUAAUAUGCUUUGUGGUUGAUAAUGUUGACAUUUGAUAUACAAGAUGGCCUUUUUAUGCUUAUUCAAGUCAUAUGCAAUAUUAUUGUCUGAUGUUGACAGGAGACUUGAUGCAUUCUUGAAGAGUCUCUAAGACAUGCUGUGGGUGUAAUCAACAUACUCAUUGUUCUCACCUACCAACCCUUAAAAAGUAGAACUAAAAAGAAAAGGGAGACUUAAGAUGCUAAAAGCUAGAAACACAUGGUACUGAUAGAUUUCCUUUUAUUUCAGGAUUAUGGGUACCUUGUUGUUGAGAGACCAAGAAUAAUCAUGCCUAUCUACCAGACAUUUUGAGCAUACAGCAGUUCUAUGGCUAAUAGUUACAUAUAUUGUUUCAUGUUUUCAUCUUUGGCAGAUAACCUAGGGAAUGCAUGCCUAACCUCUUUUUUUGUUACCGGAGCAUGGGAUCACAGUAAACUUCUGCAGUCACUGAAAGCAUAUCAAAAUGCUGUAUGUAUGAGAUAAUAACUUAUACAUCCUCCGCGUGAUGUAUUUCUACUCUCUGAAUUGUUAUUAAGCCUGUAAAAUAUUUCUAUUCUGCAUAUCAGGAGAGAGAUGAGACAAUGAAAUCCAGUCCAGACCUGUAUUUCAAUUGUGCUACUGUAAGCAUUUGUUCAACACUUUAAAUCUUUGCUUUUCUUUAAGUUUGUGUGAUUCUUUUUGUGCUUUCUAGCUUUUUUUUUUAAUGAUAAUCUAUAAAAGUUACACAGAGGACCUAAUUGAAUGAAUAAUUAUAGCUGUGAUUCUCAAAAUUUAACUGACAAGUUUCAUGAAUUAUGCGGAGGACAGAAAGUAGUACUCGCUUUGUAUUAGCAUUAAAGAUGCUUUUCAAAAUUCCAUGUUUUUGUGUAAGGUAGCUCAUCUUGCUUGGUUUCGAGAUCUUAUUCCAGCUUUGCCCAAAACAUUGUCAUUUUUAAGUCAGCUAUGUCUUUUAAGUUCCAAAAAUGUUUGUAGUGGGUGUGAUUUCAAGCUUUGAUGAGAUGAAACUUUUGAUUCUUGGAGAGGUUAUAACACGCGGAGUGACGAACCCCAAAGUUGAUUGUUAUUUGCAUCUUGUGCAAUAGUAAGAUUCCUUUGGGGUCCCAUGUGGUCAGUUUUGCUCCUUUAAAGACCUCAUUUGUGGGUAACUUUGAAACUACGCAAGGAAAAAAUUAGUGAUUCGAUUUUUGGGUAGUCAAAAAGGAUGUCAUUUGGAAGUUACAAACCAAAGUUUUGAGCUUUUGUAUUAACCUGCAGUAGCCAUGAUGUUAAUGGUCAGCUAACUAGCUGUCUUGGAGAGAGGAAAACAAAAUACUGAAGUAAUGGAACAAAGCCAGUGAAGAUGAUGCAGUUUCACAAAAAAUUAGAAGUUGACAGUCAGAGAGGAAAGCUUUAGUUUUACUAGUUUAGACAACCUCUGGAUCAAAUUUUGGCCCUCUGAUACCUUUUUGUGUAAAAAAAGGCUAUGUAAUCAGAAUAUUGACCAUAUUCUUGAGUUCUGUUUACCAAGGAUCAGCCAUCAGUGGUAUCAAGUAUGUACUCUUAAAACUCGUGCUUUAGUCCAUACUCCAGCUACUUUUAAUUCCAGAAUCAUUUAGUUUUUGGCUUGAACAAUGUCUAGACACAUAACUGGAAGAUCUCAUCAGAAAACAGUUUGGCAUAUUUUUAACUGUUUUUGUUGUUCAUUUCCUCAGCUUGUAAUUGUUUUGACCAAGAAGUUUAAUGCUUUUACAAAUUAUUUUCAUUCAAAUGAAAUUCCGUGAAUACUUAUUUCUUUCUGUUAUCAUUUAAUUUAGCAGUUAAAAUUAAAAUGAAAUUUUGUUAGGAGGCUUCUAUUGAAGUUAAAAUUGCUUUUACAUUCAGGGCUUUCCCCUGCAGUGCACAAUAUCUGCAGAUGUGGAACAUGUUUGAACUUCCACUGGGUCUAGUUAAACUGAAUCUAUUCUUCACUGUGCUUUUGUAUGCUUGUAAAAUUCAAAUCUGUAUUCUUUCAUUGUAAAAUGCAUUUGAAUUCAUUACUUGCAUCUGCUUUGCUUCUUUAUAAUGUAGAUGCUAAGAAGGAAUCAGUGUUUGACAUGGCUGAGAAUUAUUCGUUCAGGUGAACAAAUAUUUAGAGAACUAUGAGAGAGCCCUUACUGGAUUUGAAGCGGCUGCCUUGAAGGAUCCUGGCUUAAAUGCCAUGGAGGAAGUUGAGAAGAUAGUUCAUCUUCUUGACAAAUUGGAGAGUUUGCUAAAGGUUAGUUGUUUGUCUCCAUGAGGUAUAAUAAAUAUUUGGACCACAUUGAUGCUGCUCAAAUAAACCUCAUUUCCUCUUGCUUAUAACACUGUUGGUUUGCUUGUAUUUAAAUAUUUUACAAUGUCCUGAUGAGUGAAAAGAAGAAGAAAAUUUUAGAAGCUAAGGAAGAAAUUAAAAUCUGCUCAAAAUGAUUAAGCUUUAUCGUUACCUAGACUUCAAGUGAUUUAGUGCAUAUGAGUUGAUCAAAAUUAGUUAUGGAAAGAAGUCUAAAUUAUCAGUUGAUGAUAGUAUUGAUUCCGAAGGAGCUUGAUCAUAUUGAUGAUAAGGUAUCUAGCCAGUAAUGUCAAAUGUGGAUAGAUUAAUAAUGAAAAUUCUAGUGUUCGUUUCUUGCAAUUAGUUCCAUUCAAUGAUUAUAAAUAUGCUUGUUUAGUAGAAUAGAACGUGGAGUCUUUGCACCAUGAAAUUGGAAGUAUUUUGUCAUGCUGAUAAUUGCUACUUUUUCUCUCUUUAUAUCCCACAUGCAUACUGCGCAAGUGAAUUAUCAAGUUCAACUGGGUACAUGGGUCAGAACAAGAAUACCUGUAUGUAGAUUUGAACAAAGCUAGUGCCACCAAUAAAUAAGAUGGAUAUGUUUAUAUACAGAGAAGAGUAGGGGCUGGAUUUAGCAGACGCUAGUUGGAGCAUGGUUUGUGUUUGAAGUUAAGCAUUACUAUCUUAAGAAAUCCAUCUUUGACUACUUGCUGGGAAAAUUUUAUAUCCGCAAUAUACCUAGGGUGGAUCAUAGUGUAAUCUGGUUGUUCCAGAAUGCUCAUUUCCCCUACAAGGGGCAAACUUGGUAAGGGCCAAAUAGUAGGCUUAGCCUAUAGGACCAGAGCACACAGUAAACAAUUUGAUCAAUCACACCACCGUCAGGUUUGACAGUCAUUGUUGAUCUAAGCAUUUGGCAUCAAUUCUAAAUAUUAUUUUUGACGCUCAAAAUGAUAACAAUGUAACUGUGGUUUGUUCAUUUUUAUGCUCUAUUAGAACAGAUAGCUGAGCAUUGCAUUUUGAGGCAUGCAGACAUUUCCAAUUCUAAUAUGUUUUUGUUUUAUAGGGACAAACUAAGGCUAAGCGACUUGCUUCAUUGGCGUCAUCACUUUCCACUGUAAAUGGUAUGCCAGAAUACUGAUUCUACACAUGUCCUGAAAAAAUUGUUUGUUCAACAUGUUUACGUGAUGACAGAACAUGCUUGAAGUUGCAACCUGAUACAUGCAAUUUCAAUCAUUUGUUGUCUCCUGUGAUUAAUCCAUGUUAAUUUUUUUUAUUUUCCUAUCUGUAGUAAAUCCUUCAUAUAUUCAAGUCAGUGUGGAUCGUCUAGCAGAAGGUUUAAAUAAAGGGGUUGCCAUCGUGGGAAAGGUUCUAUACUUUGUUAAACACCAAAACGUGGCUCCAUUGUGAGUACUUCGCUAGUUUACUUCUCUCCAACUAUUUUGCAUAACAGUUGAGUUGCCACAUAGUUUCACUUUGAAUUGCAGCAUGCACAUGUUUACGUUCAAAAGCAUGCCAUUUUUUUUUUUUCCGUUUCUGAGACGUAUUAUAUUGCAGAUACUAUUUGCUCUGUGAUGCAAAUCAAAUAUGCUAUGUUUUAUCAGUCUAUGGGAUACGUGAUGAUGUGGUAAGUUUUGCCUGGCAAUGAUGAAAGCAUCUUUAUAAGGAAAAAGUUGAUAUUUCACUUGAGUUACAUUUUUCCCUACUGAAAGAAGCCUAAUAAUUUGUCAUGUGAGUAAUGUUUCUAAAUUUCCCGAACAGCCUUAAUUUCUUUGUUUGUUUAAUUUUCUUUGGCUUGUGGUUUGAGUUGAAAGGGGUAGACAAGAAAGAAGGAUGGCUCUACUUGAUUCAUUCCCUCUGUGGUCUCUCUUAAAGUUAUAGGAAAUAUUGUCACAGAUUUUAAUCCAUGAAUUAUGUUUAUUGAAAACAAAUUAGGGAUGCUUACAACCAAGAAUGCAUUGUCCUUGCUAGUUUUCCCUUUCACCAUGAGGUUGAUUAUGACUCACCUGCAGGCCAAUGAAGUUAACCCUCUGAAGUUAUUAAAGAAACUCCCCCUCCCCAUUCUGCCUCUGUCUGUGUCUCUCACUCACGUGUAGGAUGGAAAGUUUCCAGCCAUGCUCUCCUUGUUUCACAUGAUCCCAUAUUCAUCUAAUGAUAUGUUCAUUGCAGGUUAAAGAAGGAGACCAGAUCAUACUGCUGAGUCCCUAUUUCCAUAAUGUUGAUUUCUCUUGGAAUGGAAAGGUGUGCUCUUGACACUUUUUGUCAUCAAAAUCAAUCCAUUUCCCAUCAUCGUUUAAUUUUGGAAAAACAUUCACGUUUCCUUUCUACAGCAAUGAAAAGAUUGAUUCUGCUAAUAUCAUCAAUAAUGAUAUUGUCUCAGUAGCUAGUAAAGUUGGUCGUGUAAAAUAAUUACCAUUUGUAUGGUUGAUUUUGUAUCAGAUCUACCAGUUCAAAUCAGUACGUGUAGACUUCUUGGAGCAAAUGCUUGUUAAUGGAAAAGCUUUGUCUCAUAGCCAGGCAGUUCGAGCAUCGAUCUAUGCACAACAUAAGCCUUGAGAUUGCUUUUCAUUAUUGUUGUGGAUGUUACAUGUGUGAUUUAUAGUGGAAGUCAAGAUAAUCCUGCCGCGAACGAAGUGUCUUUUGUAUAUAGAACUGCAGCACAGAGUAAAGAAAUUUGCGCAUGUAACAUCAUGAAUUCUUCUCUCUUGUAUCCGUGGUAAAGAGAGAACAUGAAGGAAGAAAGCAAGGCCAGUGGUUCAUGAUUGCAGGGUCUGUGCUGCGAUUAUUGAUGAUGAAUAUGUACAAAUUGCGAAGGGGAGAGGCGGGAUUUUUUUUUUUUUACAUGAAAACUUUUUUAUAUUUAGCUGCAAAGAGUUUUUUCUUCCCCCUAUUUUCUUCCUUUUUUUUUAUUUUGCAUCUUUUGUUUUAAUGAGCAAAAAGUUCACCAUAUUUGAUUGCUAAUUUGUACUUAGAGCAGAGCUUGUGAGCAAAAGCUCCCUCCCCAUUCAAAUUGAUUUUUCCAUCUCAUUCCAUUUGUUGGAAAUUCUUCCAAGUGGCCACUAUGACUCUUUGGGCAGGCCCAAAUUCCCACACCUUCCAAUUAAAAAAAUUCAGUCCGAUCUAGAUGGGCCCUUUUCUAGUCUCACGAAACCGAGUCAGGUCCUUUAUCCAUGACUAUAGUUGUUGUCAUUUCUAAGUAAAAAAUUUAAUCUCGUCCAUUAAAAGUGGGCAGUAAAAGAAGGUGGAAAACUGUAGUAUGUAAAUAGUAAGUCAAUAGAGGUGGGGAGGGAUGGGUUGGGUGAUUUAGAGAAGAAGUAUAAGUGAGAGUUUUCUAAUAGUACACCACGGCUUCAUAUCUUCACAACUCAUUUUGGGUCUUCUUGUUAUUUGAGGAAGAAAUUAAUAAGUUAUUACGUGACAAACUAUAUUAUUAAUUAGGACCUCUGCGGUAUAUGCAUGCAUUUGACGUCUUUUUCACCAAAACAUUAAAAAAAAAAAAAAAAAAAAGCACAACGCGAGUGAUUGAAACAUACGUUUGACACGAUCUUCACGGGGUUGUUUGGUGUAUCUGCUUUAGUUUAUUAAGAAUGCUGAUUCUUCAUUAUAAUAAUGCCUGUCAUCAAAAGGACUUAAAGAUGUACUUAAAAUAAAUCGACUGUACUAAGCCAUGAUAAGGAAAGAGAGACAGACGGAUAGAUAGGGAAAAUGUCUGAAGCAUGUGCCAUGAAGGGAGGAGAUGGACCUCAAAGCUACGCCCAAAACUCAUCCUAUCAGAUAGCAAGUUUUCUUCUGUGGGUCUUUUUCACUUCAACUUUUCUGGGAAAACGUUUUUUUUUUUCUAUUUAUAUUCACUUAGUUUAAUUGAUAAAAGAUUUUAAUGCUAAGGCCACUAUUGUUUCAAGCCUUUGUUAGACUAGAAUCGUCUAAAGGUAUUGCAGAAAUUGCGCAUUAUACGCCUUAAGGUGUGCAGAUCUAUGUUUUUAGACUCGGACUGGGUAUCGACUCGGUCAAAUUCAGGGAUCAGGAAUCAAUGGGUUCGACUAGAUUCGAUAGGGGUUGAAUCGGAUGACGUCAUAGAUAAAAAUUAUUUAAAAAUUAAAAUAUUGUAUGUAAAAUACCUAAGAGCAUGUUAAUAUUAAUAAAUGUAUAUUCAUAUAUAUUUGAUGUUUCAAAUAUAUUUAACAAGAAAAUACAAUAAAAUUAGAAAGAUCAAGUAGUAAUUUAUAUUAUUUAAUGAACAUUAACAAGUUUAGAAUUAAAAUUAUGGACUUGAUUGAAAAUAACAUCAAAUUUUAGGACAAAUUUAUAAAGUAUGAAAUAUUUGAGGUAUAUUAAUAAUUUUUAAUAACUUAGGGGUCAACACAUAAUAUUAAAAAUGUUUGACCUUUUUUGAAAAAGGUUUUGAUUGAACUGGUUCUUCCGAUUUUUAAAAAUUGGGUUUGACCGAAUUUUACUCAUCCAAUUUUUUAGAAUAAUUCAGACCGGACACUUGGUCGAUUCCCGAUUCGACUAGUCAGACCGGCCGAUUCAGUCUGAGUUUAAAAACACAAGUGCAUAUAUGAGGUUAAGGAAGACUUUGGCUAAAUGAUAAGAUGAAGGAGAUUAUAAGUAAAAUAUUUUUUAUUCAAAGCCGGUGUGUAAAUCUUUUAUAGUAAAAGUUGAUUUUUUUAUAGUAAGUGGUUGAUAAUUCAAACUUGCGAUCUGGUAGUUAUAGAUUGAAAAAAACUGAUUUUUUUAAAUGUAUAUUUCUUCUACUUUUUGGGUUGCAGGAAGGAGCAAUAGACGUUGAAAAAUAAAUUAUCAACAAAGAAAUUGACCCAAAAAAAACUUGAUGUUGAUCAACUUAAGUGAAGAGCUUAUACAUGUCAAACAAUUUUAAUAGAAAAUAUUUCAAGAAAAGGAACACGGCCCACUUAUUAUAAUUCUCAUGACAUUAAUUUUAGUGAAUUUGGCCCUGAACGAUACCUCUACAAUAAGUUACAUUUGGUCACAGAUAACUAGUACUCCCUCCGUCCCAUUGAAACUGUCAUAUUUUUCAUUUUGGUCAGUCCCAAAAUGUUUGUCACAUACUUAAAAUGGCAAAUGAAUUUUUCUUCUUCUUCCAAUUUUACCCUUCUGACACUGCCUUUUAAAUAUGUGGAUCCAGCAUAAAUUGUCAAAAGAACAAGAUACGCUUUGAAGUGCGUGGCUGAUGCUAGCCAAUGUUUACUAGCGCGUGCAGUGCAAAAUAAGCAAAAAGUUAGUGUAGCUUUAAUAAUGUAGUGGGCCCAAAGUGUUGACUAGUUUGCAUAAACCAUUUGAAUAACUUCAUCCGCACCACUAUAGUCAAAAUUUGGACAGCUUGACGAGGAUAAUUUAGGAAUUACAUACAGCUAUCUCUUAUUCUUGUUUACUAUUGAAAAAUAUUCCAAUUCCCGAAAAGUGAGUACAACUUUGUGUCUACCGACAGAUUGGCUUGUCAUUUUUGUGGUUGCUAUCUAUUACAAUUGUCGUAAUGCUAUCUGGACCGAAUUGGCUAAAAUACAAACACUUAUCUGGAAAUGGCUAGCUGGUAUAAAUCACUCCAUCCAUUUGGGCAGGGAAACCAAGACAUAACAAGGGAAGAGAUAUAGUGAGAUUAAAUGCGUGUACUUUGUGCCAUAAUGGAGGAAAUGGACCUCAAAGCUAUGCCCAAAACUCAUCCUAUCAGGUAGCUUUUUUUGGGUUUUUACAGAUUUGUUUUCAAUUAAUUUAAAGACAAAGGGAUUUCAAGCUUUGGGCCGGUAAAAUUAUAGACACUGCAAAUGGUGCAAUGAUCAUUCGACAAGUCUUAAGGUUUGUAAUAUAAGGCUUGUGUCCUAAAGCUUAUCUAUUAUUUAUUUAUUUAUUUUCCCUUAUGGUUGCAGAGAGGAGCAACAGAAGUUGCAAAAGAAAUUAUCAGAGAAGAAAUUGACAAAAAGCUAGACAUCAAACAACUUUCUUCAACCUCUAUGGAUCCAUUUUGCAUAGCAGAUUUUGGCUGCUCCACAGGACCAAAUACAUUUGUGGCAAUGCAAAUCAUCAUUGAAGCCAUUGAGGACAGAUUCAAAAAAGAGGGACUAACACCUGAAUUUCAAGUCUUCUUUAAUGACCUUGUAUCUAAUGAUUUUAACACACUUUUUGCUUCACUUCCGCCAGAAAGACACUACUGUGCUGCUGGAGUGCCUGGUUCUUUUCACAGUGUCAUGUUCCCAAAGGCAAGCCUUCAUUUUGCUUAUUCAUCUUACUCGCUUCACUGGCUUUCAAAGGUGCCAAAAGAGGUUACAGACAAUACGUCUCCUGCAUGGAACAAAGGAAAGAUUCACCAUGGCGGUGCCAAAAGGGAAGUUCUUGAUGCCUAUGCAUCUCAAUUUGCCAAGGACUUGGACUCAUUCCUGAAUGCAAGGGCACAUGAGCUCGUGGAUGGAGGCCUGAUGGCACUUCUUAUACCUGCUGCUCCUGAUGCUAUUCGUGAAUCUCAUACCAGUACAAUCACAGAGGUAGAAUGUGAAGUUCUAGGAUCUUGCUUGAUGGACUUGGCUAAGAAGGUGAGAUUUUAGCAUUCUAGUUAGUUUUAGACACUGGCGAAAUCAGAAGUUGAAAUUUGGGUUGAAGACUAGAAAAGACAUAUAAUUAUAUAUAUAUUCUCAUUCUUUUAUUUUUAUUUUUUUACCUUCCAACAUAUUUAUUUAUAUACAUUUAUUUAUUUCUCUAAUUUUUUGUCAAAGAAUUGUACAUGAAUGAAUAUGUUUCAUGCUCUUUUUGACUGUUAGAAUAUUAUGCUUUUUUGUCCUUUUUCAUUUUCUUUUUUAUAUAUUUCAUAGUUCAAAUAUUUAAUAUAAAUAAUUAAUAGUUGUUAAAUAAUUAUGACAUCACGAGUCAAUUAAGGUUCGUCCAACGAUUGAACCAAUAAUUUUUUCGAGUCAAUAAAAGGGCUGUUUUCAAAACCUUACUGUAUCCAUUGUAGGGAGUAGUCGACGAAGUGAAAGUGCAUAUGUUCAACUUGCCAGUAUAUUUCACAUUUCCCAAUGAGGUAAAGGCACUGCUGAAGGCAAAUGAAAAUAUGGACGUCCAGAGAAUGGAGAUACUAAACAUUCCAGGAAAGCAAGAGCUUUUUCCCAACCCUACUGCAAAUGUUUUGUACCUGAGAGCUGUCUUACAAGGAGUUGUGGAGAAGCAUUUUGGAAGUGGAAUCGUGGAUGAAUUGUUUGAACUGUAUGGACGAAAAGUUGCAGACUCUUCUUUUUUCUUUGAUCCAGAAAAUCAAGAUCUGAUCGUGAUUUUUGUGCUGCUAAGGCGAAAAAUGAGAACAUGAAUAAAAUGUGCAAAUGAGAGUUAAAUGUCUAAAGCCAUAAAAAAAAAAUUUUUUUUUUUUUUGGCAAGUAGAAGUUUAAUAUGUCCCGUACUACAACAUGCGCUGCAAUUUAGUUUUAUCAUUUAGCUUUUUGCCAAGUAAUAGUCCUGCAAAGGAUCGUCGUGAAUACGAUCACUUUUGCCAACCAAGAAAAAAAGAAGGAAAACUAAAAACUCAUUUCAUAGUGAGUGAAAGAAUAACGUAAUUUUGAUUCCUCAUGGUCAUUUGCUCUAAACUCAAUCUCUUUUUUGAAUAAUUUCGUCGCGAAUAAACCAUAUAUCUCUAAAAAAUAAGCCGUGCAAGGCAAUGCGCCGAUUGGGCAACAAUUUACAUGGGAGCAAGCAAUCAUGAACAAUCUCCCCUUCCAGCGAUGAACCCAUAAACAUCCACGAUCGAUCAAUCAUUUGCCAGUCAAAACCUGUUUCCCAUAGAAAUAACGGUAAACGAGUAGUAGUCUAUUAUCCACAAGCUAUUCAUUUGUUCAGACUGAUAAUAAGAAAGGGGAAUCAAUUCCUAUCUACUCGGAACAGAGAACUUACAUAUAGCAUUUCAUAGCUGACCAAAUUAAGAAUCAAUUUGAUGUUUCGGAUGUCAGAAAGUGACCGUCUGACUGAAGAGAAAAAGGAAAAGAAAUACGAAAAAAGACACAAACGCAGGUGCCUAUACACGCAAGUAUAGUUAUCAGGCAAGCUUUUUGUUCAUCACAGACUCAAUAGACCCAUUUAUAAGUUGAUAAA
Molecule: long non-coding RNA, 13374 nt
Filed under: Coffea arabica (coffee)
Lineage: Eukaryota; Viridiplantae; Streptophyta; Magnoliopsida; Gentianales; Rubiaceae
Description: long non-coding RNA (CARA_LNC007571)
Source: RNAcentral